RNAcentral lists this ribosomal RNA (433 nucleotides) under uncultured bacterium. RNAcentral describes it as "partial 16S ribosomal RNA". It matches the Rfam family "Bacterial small subunit ribosomal RNA", at positions 29 to 507 of the family's 1533-position model. The record is from RNAcentral.
AGCGAACGCUGGCGGCAGGCCUAACACAUGCAAGUCGAACGAACUCUUCGGAGUUAGUGGCGGACGGGUGAGUAACACGUGGGAACGUGCCUUUUGGUUCGGAAUAACUCAGGGAAACUUGUGCUAAUACCGAAUGUGCCCUUCGGGGGAAAGAUUUAUCGCCAUUAGAGCGGCCCGCGUCUGAUUAGCUAGUUGGUGAGGUAACGGCUCACCAAGGCGACGAUCAGUAGCUGGUCUGAGAGGAUGACCAGCCACACUGGGACUGAGACACGGCCCAGACUCCUACGGGAAGCAGCAGUGGGGAAUCUUGCGCAAUGGGCGAAAGCCUGACGCAGCCAUGCCGGGUGAAUGAUGAAGGUCUUAGGAUUGUAAAAUUCUUUCACCGGGGACGAUAAUGACGGUACCCGGAGAAGAAGCCCCGGCUAACUUCGUG